Rattus norvegicus (Norway rat) is the source of this 45-nucleotide non-coding RNA. The record is from Rfam. NCBI's taxonomy places the organism in Eukaryota, Metazoa, Chordata, Mammalia, Rodentia, Muridae.
CCAACGGCUCUUUUCAGAGCCACCUACAUUACUCAAAGAGCUUAG